UGGGGAAUUUUGGACAAUGGGGGAAACCCUGAUCCAGCCAUCCCGCGUGUGCGAUGAAGGCCUUCGGGUUGUAAAGCACUUUUGGCAGGAAAGAAACGUCAUGGGUUAAUACCCCGUGAAACUGACGGUACCUGCAGAAUAAGCACCGGCUAACUACGUGCCAGCAGCCGCGGUAAUACGUAGGGUGCAAGCGUUAAUCGGAAUUACUGGGCGUAAAGCGUGCGCAGGCGGUUCGGAAAGAAAGAUGUGAAAUCCCAGAGCUCAACUUUGGAACUGCAUUUUUAACUACCGGGCUAGAGUGUGUCAGAGGGAGGUGGAAUUCCGCGUGUGGCAGUGAAGUGCGUAGAUAUGCGGAGGAACACCGAUGGCGAAGGCAGCCUCCUGGGAUAACACUGACGCUCAUGCACGAAAGCGUGGGGAGCAAACAGG
RNAcentral lists this ribosomal RNA (429 nucleotides) under Acidobacteriota bacterium. Its description in RNAcentral is "Acidobacteria bacterium partial 16S ribosomal RNA". It matches the Rfam family "Bacterial small subunit ribosomal RNA", at positions 355 to 776 of the family's 1533-position model. Lineage: Bacteria; Pseudomonadati; Acidobacteriota. The record is from RNAcentral.